UCCGUCCUUGUCAUGGGGUGAGGGAGCUGCUCAGUGAACGCAUAGUGAGAGCAGCCCUGCUGACACCAUAACAACACCUGCGCAUCACCUGGACUCUGUCCGGGACACGGUGCAAUUUUUGGAAAC
Small nuclear RNA from Morone saxatilis (striped sea-bass), 126 nucleotides. RefSeq annotates it as U4atac minor spliceosomal RNA. The transcript has a single exon. NCBI's taxonomy places the organism in Eukaryota, Metazoa, Chordata, Actinopteri, Moronidae. The record is from RefSeq and is a predicted model, not a curated record.